RNAcentral lists this ribosomal RNA (599 nucleotides) under uncultured Actinomycetes bacterium. Its description in RNAcentral is "bacterial SSU rRNA". It matches the Rfam family "Bacterial small subunit ribosomal RNA", at positions 252 to 866 of the family's 1533-position model. The record is from RNAcentral. Lineage: Bacteria; Bacillati; Actinomycetota; Actinomycetes.
GUGAGGUAACGGCUCACCAAGGCAUUGACGGGUAGCUAGUCUGAGAGGACGAAUAGCCACACUGGGACUGAGACACGGCCCAGACUCCUACGGGAGGCAGCAGUGGGGAAUCUUGCACAAUGGGCGAAAGCCUGAUGCAGCGACGCCGCGUGGGGGAUGAAGGCCCUAGGGUCGUAAACCCCUUUCAGUGGGGACGAAACUGACGGUACCCACAGAAGAAGGUCCGGCCAACUACGUGCCAGCAGCCGCGGUAAGACGUAGGGACCGAGCGUUGUCCGGAUUUAUUGGGCGUAAAGAGCUCGUAGGCGGUUGCGUAAGUCGGAUGUGAAAGCUCGGGGCUCAACCCCGAGACGCCAUCCGAUACUGCGCUGACUUGAAUCCAGUAGGGGAGUGUGGAAUUUGUUGUGUAGCGGUGAAAUGCGCAGAUAUGACAAGGAACACCUAUGGCGAAGGCAGCACUCUGGGCUGGUAUUGACGCUGAGGAGCGAAAGCAUGGGUAGCAAACAGGAUUAGAUACCCUGGUAGUCCAUGCCGUAAACGGUGGGCACUAGGUGUGGGGACUUUCAACGGUUUCCGUGCCGAAGCUAACGCAUUAAGUG